UGAGGAGUAAUUACUGCCUGGGCAAACCCGUGCAAAAACAGUCACGCUGGUCGCAUAUUUAUGUCCUGCCAUUUGUUAGAAACUUUCAAGCGUCUACUACUGUUACUUUAAAAAAGUCUACAUGGAAAUUCUAUCCCCACCCUAACCUGAACUUAAGCCUGCAGAUGAGGAUCAGGCUCCCCAGCCUCCCGGAACAAGCAGACAGUUAUUAAUGGAAAUGUUCCACCAGCUCAGGGACCUCAGCCAUAUACCUAAUAUGGACAGAGGAAAAAGAUAUGUUUCUCUCCUACAAUGGUUUAUCAUGAAUUAUCUUAGUAAGGGGAUGUACAAAGGUGAGUGCACAUGCAAAGUCAUAGAUGUGAACUUUCUUUUCUUCCUCUCCUCCUCCUCCCUUUCUCCUAGCUUUCCUCCUAUGCCUCUGUCUCUAACUGUAGAAGACCUUAUCCAUCACUGUAGCAGCAGCAGCAGCAGCAUGGUGCACAGGAAUGAGUGAUUUGGAGUCAGGGCUGCCUCUAGAUUUCUGUGGUGCUUUGCCACUCAGUGGUUAUGUAAAAACAGAGCAGGUGACACCCUCCCUGAGCCUCAAUUCUCUUAGGUGUGGGUGGGAUCUAGCAGCACCUGUCCUGCCUCCCUGACCCAACCUUUCAGUUCAUAGGUGAGAAAACAAGGCCCAGAGAGGCACCUGGCUUGGUCUCAUGGCUAAGAUCCUGCAGGGCUAAGACGAGACCCUGGCUCUUGCAUUUAACCCCUGCAGUCACAGCGAUCCAGGAGCUGUUAGACACUUGGGAUCCAGGACUGUGCUGGCUGCUGGAGGAGAGUGGAGGAGAGGUGUGGGGUAGGGAGGGCACAAGCUCUGGUGUAAUCCACAAAACAAGAAGACACUUUCUCUGCUGUUGAGGAGCAGGUUGGUCCUCUUCACCCCUCCCUCAGGAGUAAUUGAACUGCUUGACAGGUUCAUCUUGCCCACUGCCCAGAUAGAGCCAAUUGAUCAAGACAGAGGAAUUGCAAUAGAGAAAGAAUUUAAUACACAUAGAGCCGGC
RNAcentral lists this long non-coding RNA (1040 nucleotides) under Macaca mulatta (Rhesus monkey). Its description in RNAcentral is "lncRNA (ENSMMUG00000057950.1)". Lineage: Eukaryota; Metazoa; Chordata; Mammalia; Primates; Cercopithecidae. The record is from RNAcentral.